UAAAGGUGCCCCUGUUCAUUUGUUUUAACCAGGAUUUCCUUGUUAAUAGGCAUUUAUAUAUGAAAACAUUUGAGGAUGUUUAUUUUUAUUUUUCUAAUUAUAAAAGUAUUAUGUGUAUGAACAAGAACUUUGGAAAUCACAGAAAGUAGAAAAGAUUUGAAAGUACUCCCUAAUUCUACUCCCAUAGCUAACAGUUCAUACCCUGGUAUAGUUUAAUAUCAUGGUAUUAAACAUAGUUAAUACCUUAGUAUAGUUUAAUACCAUAGUAUUAAGGCGUCGUUUAAUACCUUCUUCCAGUCUUUCCAUGUCAUUUUGGGGGUGAUGUUUAAUAUUAGAUGUAUAUAAAAUAUAUAUUGUAUGAAAUAUACAUAAAUUGUUAUUUGCACAUUUAUAUGUAUGAAUAUACAUAUGCAAAUUUUAUAUAUAUGAAGAUUACUGUGUUUUAUGUAUACAUAUAUGUAUGAUAAUUUGAACAUUUGUAAUAGUAAGAACAUUAACCAAAAAAUUAUCCAAAUGUUAUUAUAAAAAUGUAGAUAGCAAAGAGAGGUUUUUUUCCUUGGCUACACUGAAGUUUCAUGGAAGUUCCCAGGCUGGGGGUCAAAUCAGAGCUGCAGCUGCCGACCUACACCACAGCCACGGCAACACUGGAUCUAGCCACAUCUGCGACCUACACCACAGCUCACCAAAACACUGGAUCCUUAACCCACUGAGUGAGACCAGGGACCGAACCUACAUCCUCAUGGAUACUAGCAGGAUUCGUUUUUGUUGAGCCACAGUGGGAACUCCCUCAGAGAAUUGGUUUUCAGAAAUCUGGAAUAUGGUUAAAAUGAUGGAGCCCACCUUCGAAUGUAAAUAAUUAACACGGAGGGACUCCAAUAGCUGUAAUAGCAGGAGAAUGGGAGCAUGGAAGUGUAAAAAGAUGCAUGUCAGAAGUUAAGGACGAAUAAAAAUUGUGCCUGUUUACAAAGCACCUUGUUCCACAAGGCCCCUUGCAGACUGUGCUGGGAGACGGGCACCGAGAGCCAGAGGACACCCUCGACCCGUGCUGGGCAUGGAACUCCUCAGAGGGGCGGGCAUGUUCACUGGUUGAGGGUCCCAGGGAGGGCUGGGCCGGGCAGGGCUCCCGAGCUGUAAGUGAGGGGCAGGCAGAUGGGGCUGCAGAGAGCGGGGCUGGGGGAGUUUCUGCUGUGGGUCUUUCCUAUUUACCUUCCUCCCUCUUCCUCGGGCUGCUGCCAAGGACGGCCCUGAAGUGGGGGUCGGAGAAGGGGAGGGAUGAGGGCCUCCCUUCCCUCUCUCCUGUCAUCACUCCUCCCUGUCCUCCUCUCCCCUCUCUCUUCCGGACGUGCCUUUGGGAGACUAGGAGCGCCUGGCCCAGAACCAGGCCACCAGAGCCAAAGAAGAAUGAAGGCAGUGACAGGGUGGGCUUGCGCCUGCAGGUGGGUAGGUGAGCAGAGGGUGGGACAAGCAGGAGCCCUCUGUGGCUUUGGGGGGAUAUUAACGGCUGUGUGUAUAUACGUAUGCAAGCAGCCACUGGUCUGCAAAGGGCAUGAGCAAGCUGUGGACAGUCCAACAGAAUCACCUCCAAAUCCUGGUGAUUAGUCAGCAGGGAAGUCAGCAGGGACAGCUGGCUCACGGAAGUCAAAAGAAAGAAAAGAAGAAGCGAAUUCUCCAAGGAACAGGGAGGCAGGAGAUCAACUUCAUCAAAACGUUGAGGAGGAUCCCCUGUGGCCCCGGGACCGGCACUGGCUCCCUGAGGACUCAGGUUGGAUCCCUGGCCUCGCUCAGUGGAGUAAGGAUCCAGCGUUGCUGCAAGCCGCAGGGUAGGUCCCAUACGCAGCUCCUAUCCAGUGUUGCUGUGGCUGCGGCGUAUGUCGGUAGCUGCAGUUCCGAUUUGAUUGCUGGCCCGGGACCUUCCAUAUGCUGCAGGUGCAACUGUGAAAAGAAAGAAAAGAGAAGCUGAGUGCAAAUGGCAAGUUUUGCAAGUUUAGAAGAAAGUGGCUCACACUGUACGUACGUGCAUAUGAACUUGGGGAAUUUUAGCAUUGGUUCUUCCUCAAUGGUUCUGAUACUGCCAACCCGCAUGAACUUUCUUGUGAGAAGUUCUGGUAUCUUCCUCAGUUUUUACCUUCUUAUUCGUAGCUGCGUAUUGUCACGUUGGCCCAAAUGACACCAUGUAAUUCAGUUUAUCCAGCUCCACCAUCACAGAGGGCGUAGGUGGUCCACCCUUAAGAUGCACCAAGCAUCAGAAAAAAAGUCAUAGUAGGGGGAAGAAAGUUAAACAAAACAGUGUAUUAUUUCCAGAUCAUCUCGAGGGUAGAAGGAAGGCAGGGGACAGGGGGUGAUACGGCCAAGCAGUAAAAUUACAGUGUUUGGGGGAAAGAGGUUUACUUGCAGAGUUGAAUUGGGACAGACAUGGAAAAUGGGAAAAUAAUCGAAAUCAGGCAUAAACAGCCAAUAACUGUUUAUUAAGUGCCCACGAUGUGAUGAAUGUUCCAAGGGAAGGAGCGCCAGCGUGCAGAAUUAUCCCAAGUACAUCUUUCUAAACGAUUUGGUUGGUUAAAUGAUGGGCGAAAGAAAAAAGGCCUGGCAUCUUUGCUGAGUCGCAGUUCUGAGCCCAGCAGCCUUUGUUCUUGGCUGGAAAACUGAAGUGAGUAAGUCAAGUUCUAAAACGCUAAGACCCCGAGAAAGGCCUGGGGGCGGGGACUGAAAAAUCCGACAAAGGUGGGUUGUUUCCAAUUGCCGCAGAGGAGACAGCCUGGCCCCUGGGGGCAGCUGCCACAGCCCCUCAGGGGGGUCUCAAUACCGUAAAUCUAAAUUCCGUCUCAUCCUUGGCAAGGGCGAGGGGGCAAGCAGGAUUGCCAUUAGCAAGAUGCUGAAGACAACAAUGGCAGACACAGAAUCUCUGGUAUUAGUCUUUAGCAAAGCCUGUGACAGUCCUGCAGCCAGAAACACUUUUGUCAGCUGAUCGUAUGGGAUCAGGGAGGCCAUGACCCUUAGAAGUCACCUACAGUCCAGGGCACCUGAGUCAGCUGGACCCUUGUAGUGGCUCUUCCCCUCCCCGAAGGGUAUGGGAGACAGAUCCCGGGCCCUGACCUCGUUUCCACAUUUCAAGGCUUUAGGUCUUCAAACUCAUGAGAGAGUCUGUUUUCUUCUCUGUUUGGUCAUUCCUUUCAUUUCUUAGCCUCGUUUCUCCUGAUUCUGCUUGGGAGGUGGCAGGCUUUUCAAAGGUAUGUUUGAAAAGAUCUGUACUGUUUUACUAGUUAGCUCUCAGAGCAGGGGCUGGGCAUGCUUCGUCUACCCCCCAGGAGGGGCCAUGAGAAGCACUGUCACAGAGCGUCCUUGGAGGAGGUACCCUCUUCUCUAAAGGCGAAAAGUGGACUGAGCGGGGCUCAGGUUUACUUCUGUGCUGCUCAGGGUGCUUAUGAAUUUCUAGAAAAUGUGACUAACACUCUGUGAAGCUCUUGUUUCACGCCUGCUGUUUGAACAACCAUCCAUGUUGCUUUAGUUGUCUUUGGGUUAUUGCUUCUAGUGCAUCUUUCAUAUUAUCUAUUCUCCGACGGACCUCUGGGGGCUUCCAACUUUCCAUGACUGCAAAUAACCCUGGGAUGAAAAUCCCAGUGUCCUUGAGAACCGGUCCAUGAGAGUUUCUUGGGACACAUCUCAGAAGUGGGUUUCCAGCUCGUGGAAAAUGAGCAUAUGUAUGCUCCAGAUCUGGGGAUUCUUGCUAAAACUGGGUUUUAUAAGGAAGUGCACAGAGGAGCCUAGGAGCCUGACUCAAGUUUGGUUGAACAAAGAAUGUGUGUUACUCACAGCCCUCCAACACACAGCAUUUGGGGAAUAAGCGUGACAGCCCUAGGGGGACCUGGCGGCGCCCACAACCCACGACCAGUGCUGCUCAUCCCAGCAUUAACCAUGUCAGUAUUUACUAAGUGAAUCCAAGGCAGAGAACACGACGUCUGCAAUGGCCAAGGGAACAUCGCAAGCCUGGGGAGGUGAAAUAGCAGGGGGCUGGGAUGGCGUGGGAGCAUCGGGAAAACCCAAGGAACAAGUGUUGGGAGGGCCAACAUUCACUGUUUGGCAUGUGUAUGGUCAGAAUUUUGGCACUGGUCGCAAAACUAGGAAAGUGGCUACCGAACAGGCUUUUCCUAAUCUUAGGUUCUAAGCACCUUUUGGUAUCUUUUUUCUUUUCUUUUCUUUUCUUUUUUCUUUUUCUUAUAGCUGCACUCAUGGCACAUGGGAGUUCCCCGGGGCCAGGGAUUGAUUCCCAGCCCAGCUGCGACCUAUGACACCACAGCUGCAACAAUGCUGGAUCCUUAACCCACGGUGCCAGGCCAGGGAUCAAACCUGGGCCUCCACAGCAACCUGAGCCACUGCAGUUGCAUUCGUAACACACUCUGCCAUGGCAGGAGCUCUUCAGUUUCAAUCUUUAGAGAAAUGGUAAAGGUUUGGUCUUAGAAGGGAAUGAUCCUCUAGCCUAAUGCCCUAAUUUUGCAGAAUGGAGGCAAAAUGGCAUAACCUGCUCAAGGCCUUACGGUCAAGGUGAGCUUCCCAGGCAGUAAAUGCAGACAGGACGUGCCUGGGGUGAGGCAAGCCGGGCUGGCAUGUCCACUCUGCCACGUGUUCCUAGGCGAGCCAUGUCCCUGCUGUACCACACAGGCGGAAACAUAGGGCCCUGGAGCUGCCGUGGGGACUGACUCCAAAGGGGCCAGUUUCUUUCCUGUUAAUUCCCAGGCUGUGCUCCUGAUUCUGCCCGAGGCUGCCCCACUCAUUGACGGGAAUGGAGUGCCCUCCAGGAGAAAGUCAGAUCCUUUGCGUUUUUAUUUUUUAGGAUUCUUCUCUAUUUGGACCCACUAAUAAUUCACCAUAAAGCGGAACAAAGUGUCUACACCCUUUCAUAUGCCAAAGGGUUUAGUGGAAAUCCCCAAAGGCAUUUGCAGAAGCUGAGGCGGAUCCUAAACACACAGAACAUCCCAACUUUUUAGAAACACCGUGAUUGAAGAUUGUUGGAUUGUUGUUCUCUUCCAAGAAAAGGUAAUUUAUUUUUGAUUAUGAUUAGGAUGGGAGACCUGGAUUAACAUUUAAGCGUGUAGCAGACCUGGCAAAGUGAGUGCCCUUAUAAGAUCUCUGGCUGUAUCUGCUGCCUUAAAACAGAAAGGGGUUAAGGAGGCAUCCAGCCACUUUUACGCAUUAAAAAAGGCAUGGCCUUAGUAUGAUAAUCUCUAGAUUCAUUCAUGUGGCUGAAAAUAGCAUUAUUUCAUUCUUUUUUCAGACAGGGAAAGACAAAUAUGAUAUUACUGGUAUGUGGAAUUUAAAAAAGGAUACAAAUGAACUUACUGGCAGAACAGAAACAGACUCACAGCCUUUGAAAACAAACAUGGUUAUCACCAAAUGGGACAGGUGGGUGGAGAGGGAUGGACUCGGGAUUUGGGACUGGCAUAGGCACGCUCGGGUACAUGGAAAGACUGGCCAAAGGGCACCUGCUGUGCAGCACAGGGUCCUCUACUAGCAUUUGGUGAUAAUGCGGGAAAAGAAUCUGAAAGAGAAUGGAUGUGUAUACAUUUAUAACUGAAUCACUUUGUUGUACAGAGGAAAUUAUCACAACAUUGUAAAUCAACUGUAUUUC
This 5623-nucleotide long non-coding RNA is filed under the name Sus scrofa (pig). RNAcentral describes it as "lncRNA (ENSSSCG00000052516.1)". Lineage: Eukaryota; Metazoa; Chordata; Mammalia; Artiodactyla; Suidae. The record is from RNAcentral.